UAUUUCGUUUGAAUAAUUAGGAGAUUUUGAGAUCAGUUAAACACUUAAACCCUAAACCUCACCACCACUACGCAUUUUGUCGAACACUUACUGUACAAAAAUUGUUGCUGUCGAUCGACAUGGAUUUGGACGAUCUCGACGAUGGCCCGAAGCAGGCCUCGACCCGGGUUUCUCGCUUCGCGCCUAAGGGCGCGAAAUUCCAAGCCGAAAGCGGAACCUCCAUCAUCAUCGGCAUCUUUGUCACUGCCGCCGCCCAAGAAGGAAGAAGUCGACAUCAAGCCCGAUACCAAGCCCUAUAUAAAGCCCGAACACGAUGAGUUAUAUGCAGCAAAAAUGGAGGUGGCUGAUGAACCAGAGGAUACUGAAUUCAGAGAUGGAGAUGAAGAUGAAGUUGUUCGAGAAAUCGAUGUCUAUAUUUCUCCUUCGAUUGAUAUCGAGACACAGCCAUGAUUGUUCUUCUUUUUGAGUGAAUUUGAUUACGAACUUUGCAUUGACGAUUGAAUUCUAAUGAUUGUGCAUUAUCGAUUUUUAUUCCUUAGUUAUAUCUGCUUCAAUAUCCACUUAGGCAGCCAUGGAGACCGUAUGAAUUGGAUCUGGAUGGUAGAUGCCAAGAGGUGAGAGUGAAGCAAGCAAGCAGAGAAGUUGAAAUUGAUUUAGCCAUUGAUGUUGACUCCACGAAUUAUGAUAAUGAUGCUGAUUCCCAAAUCCAGAUGAAGAAACAGACUAUUGCAACAUCAUGGAUUCCACAUAAAACUCAAACAAAUGGAUACACAAUUGCUGAUCUUACUGGAAAUAAG
Long non-coding RNA from Salvia splendens (bonfire salvia), 797 nucleotides. RefSeq lists it as uncharacterized. The transcript is spliced from 3 exons. The record is from RefSeq and is a predicted model, not a curated record. Lineage: Eukaryota; Viridiplantae; Streptophyta; Magnoliopsida; Lamiales; Lamiaceae.